Triticum aestivum (bread wheat) is the source of this 410-nucleotide long non-coding RNA. RefSeq lists it as uncharacterized. NCBI's taxonomy places the organism in Eukaryota, Viridiplantae, Streptophyta, Magnoliopsida, Poales, Poaceae. The record is from RefSeq and is a predicted model, not a curated record. The transcript has 3 exons.
AUUUUCUCCCGUUGAGUCUUGGUAUAUAUAUUCUUCCGGCGACGGCGAGUAAGGGUUCAGCUAGACAUACACAUCUUUUUCCAGCAACAGCGCGUCCUCUCACCACCAUGGCCUGCCGCCUCGCCCUCUCCAAGGCUGCAAGGCAUCUUGCCAAGGAUAGAUGGGCACACGUGAUCCACACUUCUUCUUCCCGGGAACCUGCUGCAGCCGCAACUAUUAGCACAGCGUCCUUAGCGCAAACCUACAAGCGAGAUGCCAGUCGAGCUCUGUCCGUCACAACGCGCGGGGCCUGCACUCUGGCGCUGCUUCUAGCACUAAUCCAGAGAGAGUUGUGCAGGCCUUCGAAAGCCAGAACUCCACUCCGGCUCUCUCUGAGUACAUCAAGGCCCUUGUCAGUCUCCAAACCCAAG